UUAAAAACAGCAUUAUAUUGGUCAACAAAGGCCACAACCAGAAAGAUACCAAUAGUAUGACUAGAAUGGUCAAGAUCAAUAUUACUGAUUUUCCUAGAAACAGAUAACACGUUCUUUCACAGUCUGCAAACAAGGAGGAAUGAAAUUGAAUGUGAGGAGCUUGUGGUCACUUAUACAUACAUCAGACUUGCAUUAAGACUUAAGCUCUAUAUUCCAAGUAUGAUUAUACGGAGAUCUUCCUGUUUGUCAUAAUGCAUUUUGCAAAUGCUCUCAUUCAGUCAUGGUGUCUGGUAUCAAGACAUGCAUUGAUCGUGUUUGCUGUCACUGUCAUCAGAUCCCACAGACACUCACUCUUUCAUUAUGUCUGAAAAUUCAAUAUACCAGCCAUCAGAUGUUUUGGUCAACAAACAGAAACAGGGUAAUGCAGAGGUUUGUACACUGUCACACACCAAACAUACAUAACUGUCCAUCAUGGACAGAAUACAAACACAUUUACUUGUGUCUUAAUAAUCUUUCUUCUUCCUUAAGAAUGUUUAUCACCUGUACUCCAUGAUCCCUGACAAACCAGUUCACUCAAACGCAGAAGAUCACGUGUACAGUUUGAUGAAGAUGCACUGAUGAAUCUCAUGUCUGUGUUCAUUAAGUAUAGCGACUAUAAAUAACAUGUCUUUACUUUCAGACAAAGCAGUAGUUGUUUAUUUUUUUAUUAUUCAGUUUUUAAUGUGGAAUAUACUGUGACUUCAUUGAAUAUCCAGAGCAUCUUCUCUGGCAAUCCCACUAGUACAGUACCACUAUUGGAGCUUGAGCAUUCAGUAAGACCUGAACUAAAAUUUUGAUGAUAAAUGAAAAUGUUUUACUUCUUUUCUGAUGAAAUUGAACCAUCUGAACAUUUGAACCAAAUCUUUUUUUCUUAUUAGUUUUCUGUAUUUAUUUUUUUUUUAAAUGCUUAAAUCAGUUUUUCAAGGUCCAUCAUGUGACGUAAACUUCUCCUCCCACAAAACCCAGCCAAUUACGUCAGAGAUUUGUUUUGUUAGUAAUUCUGAAUGGUCUGUACUCUGUAUGUUUUAAGAAUCAUCCCCAAAGCUAAAGUAGAAUUUAAACAUUUAUCUUUUAAAAUGGAUUUUAUUUUAAAUGUUUCAGGCCUCUAAAGCUAUUAUAUCAGAUAUUAUUGUUCAUGCUCUGUGAUGCACAUAUAUUGUAUGUAAAUGUACACUACUUCCUAAUUCACCCAUUGUGUAAGACUCAUUCUGUCCAUUUUCUACAUUUACAUUAUCCAGGCUAACAUUUUUUACCUAACAUGUUCCCUGGAAAUCAAACCCACAACCUUUUGCGCUGCUAACGCAAUGCGCUACCACUGAGCCACAGGAACACCUC
Cyprinus carpio (common carp) is the source of this 1374-nucleotide long non-coding RNA. Lineage: Eukaryota; Metazoa; Chordata; Actinopteri; Cypriniformes; Cyprinidae. The record is from Ensembl.